This 377-nucleotide ribosomal RNA is filed under the name uncultured bacterium. RNAcentral's name for it is "bacterial SSU rRNA". It matches the Rfam family "Bacterial small subunit ribosomal RNA", at positions 521 to 896 of the family's 1533-position model. The record is from RNAcentral.
UAAUACGAGGGGAGCAAGCGUUGUUCGGAAUCAUUGGGCGUAAAGGGCGCGUAGGCGGCCGUACCAGUCUGGGGUGAAAGCCCUCGGCUCAACCGAGGAAUUGCCUUGGAAACUGUACGGCUUGAGUAUUGGAGAGGAAAGCGGAAUUCCCAGUGUAGCGGUGAAAUGCGUAGAUAUUGGGAGGAACACCUGUGGCGAAGGCGGCUUUCUGGACAAUCACUGACGCUGAGGCGCGAAAGCCAGGGGAGCAAACGGGAUUAGAUACCCCGGUAGUCCUGGCUGUAAACGAUGGAUACUUGGUGUGGGAGGUAUUGAGUCCUCCCGUGCCGACGAUAACUCAGUAAGUAUCCCGCCUGGGGAGUACGGUCGCAAGACUG